GAGUUAAUGAGUAACCUCGGUUAUUAAUAAAUGCUGGGAUUUUUGGGAGAACUUUAAACCCCCAACAGCCAUCAAAACAUUAACUCUGAAGCACAGCUUUAGGCCACGAGGUGCCUGGGAACGCCAACAGGCGCGUACUGCUGCGGCGUUGCGAAAGGGAAACCCGAUCACGUCACAGACAGGCAGCACCCGAGUGAAGUGAAUUAACGUGACAGGAAAACGGGGAAGGGAAGGGGAGCUGGAACGCCGACCACGUGGACCCUGUGGCUGCAGCUCCGGGUGCUGCCUCCCCAGAGGUCUUGCUGGGACCCAGCUGGACUGGCGGUGCUGGGAGCUGGGGGUAGCCCGCGCCCUCCCUGCAGGUGCUGCUGCCGGGAUGGCUCCGGGCUGGGACUCGCCUGUAAUUAGUGGGGCUCUCACCCUUGCUGACAGUUAGCCUAACUGCUGCUUACGCUGGGGCAGGGAAUGGAAACAACCUGCAAACAUCUACGGAGUGCAGCUCCUGCACGCCCCGAGCACCGCAGCGUGGUGGGGGGCUCUGCGGUCGCAUUUUAGCCAGGAUCCCAGCAAAAAGCACAGCCCUGCCCGCAGAUAUGGGCGGUAGCGGGAUGGAGACUGUGAAACUUUCAUCCUGGGAGCAUGGUGCUGGAGAGAGCCCGGCCAGCUCUCCGCAGGAGCCCCAUCACCUGAGCCCCAGACAUUUAAAGCAGAUUCCCUGGCACCUCUUGAAAGCAGAAACCAGAGGGGACGAAGGAGCCACGCAAUACCAGAAAGAGCAGUUUUAUUCCACCUGCUGAUGGGCAAAAAGAAAGGCUUGUAUGUUACGAGCAAAGGACACAAUAUCUCUGCAAGAUACGCAAGGCACACGUGCUGGCUGAUAUUUACAAUCCUUGACUGAACAAACUGGCAGGGUAUACAGAGAGACAAAGAAAGUCAAGGAAAAGGGGAAGGGGAAGAGGAACUCUUCUAAGAAGAGAAGCCAAUAAAGUUGUGUGGAAUGAGAAAGCCUGGGCCUCUGCACAAAGCUGUUCCACAAAAUGUCGCUGCACCGCAGAGGCUUCAAAGGGGCUGUGCAGCUGCUGUGGUGCUGUGCAGUAGUGGGAAAGGAUGGUUCAGCUCCCUGGCACCGCUACCGGGGUGUUCCUGCACCCCAGAGAUGGGGGCCAUGUGAAUACUAAGGUGGGAAAGCAAAAGGUGCAAGUGUUGGGGGAGUCGAAUGGCAAAAUUUGGGCUGAGAAAGUGCCCAGCAUUGGUCUCUGGCACAUCUGCUUCAGAGCAGAGCAGGGGAGGGGGCAGCAGAGCAGCACCCAUGAGCUCGGGGGCAGUGACCCUCACUGUGCCUCACCUGGGUGGGGAGCAUCACAAAACAUAAUCCUCACAACAUGAAGGGAUGUGUGCUCUGGAGUGCAUUUAUUAUCCCAGUGAACACAAGCAGCUAAACAAGUCUGCAAGCGCUCAUGCACACUCCCUGAUAUUUGUUCCAGGUGGAAAAUUUUGCUCUUUAUCCUCGGCCUCCCGUUAAUAAACACAGACUGUCCCCUU
Molecule: long non-coding RNA, 1542 nt
Organism: Oxyura jamaicensis (ruddy duck)
Lineage: Eukaryota; Metazoa; Chordata; Aves; Anseriformes; Anatidae
Exons: 2
Source: RefSeq, a predicted model, not a curated record